GACAGAGGGUGCAAACGUUGUUCGGAAUUACUGGGCGUAAAGCGCGUGUAGGCGGCUGCGCAAGUCGGGUGUGAAAGCCCUGGGCUCAACCCAGGAAGUGCACUCGAAACUGCGUAGCUGGAGUCUCGGAGAGGGAGGCGGAAUUCUGGGUGUAGAGGUGAAAUGCGUAGAUAUCUGGAGGAACACCGGUGGCGAAGGCGGCAUCCUGGACCAAUAUUGACGCUGAGGAGCGAAAGCCAGGGGAGCAAACGGG
RNAcentral lists this ribosomal RNA (253 nucleotides) under uncultured bacterium. Its description in RNAcentral is "partial 16S ribosomal RNA". It matches the Rfam family "Bacterial small subunit ribosomal RNA", at positions 524 to 776 of the family's 1533-position model. The record is from RNAcentral.